Molecule: long non-coding RNA, 298 nt
Filed under: Medicago truncatula (barrel medic)
Lineage: Eukaryota; Viridiplantae; Streptophyta; Magnoliopsida; Fabales; Fabaceae
Description: lncRNA gene36126
Source: RNAcentral
GCGCAACUGGAGGUCAAACUAAGCUGGUCUGGAGUGAUAAAAGAAAAUUUCCAUAUCAGGCAAUGUAAUCUAUCACUGAAGAAUAGAACGAAGAUUUAUAUUAUACGACCCUGUGACCAUAGGCACUGUUAAUUUCAGAAAAUUGAAUUAAUUGCAUGUGACUAUAAUUUGAAAUUUUGGUGCUAUAUAGGUCACAACUGAAGUGAAGUAACAACACCUGAAAAGAAUUAUAGUUCUUACCAUUCUUUAGAUCAUUAUGUAGAACUGGACAUAAUAUCUUUAUCCAUCUAUCUCCGCA